This 590-nucleotide ribosomal RNA is filed under the name Ganoderma australe. RNAcentral's name for it is "partial large subunit ribosomal RNA". It matches the Rfam family "Eukaryotic large subunit ribosomal RNA", at positions 534 to 981 of the family's 3401-position model. Lineage: Eukaryota; Fungi; Basidiomycota; Agaricomycetes; Polyporales; Polyporaceae. The record is from RNAcentral.
CGUCGUGCAUUGCUGAAGGGAACGCUUGAAGUCAGUCGCGUUGUCCGGAACUCAGCCUUGCUUUUGCUUGGUGCACUUUCCGGAUGACCGGUCCACCUCCAUUUUUACCCGCCGAAAAAGGCUGGAAUAAUGGGGCACCCCCCGGGGGGGUAUUAAAUCUGGGCCCCUUCCGGGGGUGGGAACCAAGAACCCCACCCCCCCCCAGGGCGGGGGUCCCCCCCUUUUCCCCUUUAGAUUCUUGCCUUAUGGCUUUUAACCAACCCGCUUUAAACCCCGACCCAGGAAUCUAACCUUCCUGGCAAUGGUUGGGGGGAAAACCCCAACGCCUAAUGAAAGUGAAAAUUUAAAACCCUGGCCUGGGGAACCUCCACCCCCCGACCCAAACUUCUCUGACCGAUCCCCCGGAAAACAUGGAUGGUGGGAACCCAAAAAAGGUGAACUUUUCCUGAAUAAGGGGAAACCCAAAGAAACUCUGGUGGAAGGUCCUAACCAAUCUGACCUGCCAAUCCAUCCUCCAAUUUGGGUAUUAGGGCCAAAAAAUUAUCCAACCCUCUAAUAACUGGUUCCUGGCCAAAUUUCCCCCCAGAUAA